CCGAGGCCGGACCUUGGAAAUACCUGGCAACUCUGAUCCCAAUAUGAUCCCUGAUGGGGACUUUAACAGCUACGUCAGGGUUACAGCCUCAGAUCCAUUGGACACUUUAGGCUCUGAGGGGGCCUUGUCACCAGGAGGCGUGGCCUCCCUCUUGAGGCUUCCUCGAGGCUGUGGGGAGCAAACCAUGAUCUACUUGGCUCCGACACUGGCUGCUUCCCGCUACCUGGACAAGACAGAGCAGUGGAGCACACUGCCUCCCGAGACCAAGGACCACGCCGUGGAUCUGAUCCAGAAAGGUUCUGGGUGCAAGGGCAAGCAGGAGGGGGGCCAGGAAAGGACAGUUACUGGAAGAUGGACAGCCCAGGAGGCUACAGAGG
Molecule: unclassified non-coding RNA, 377 nt
Filed under: Homo sapiens (human)
Lineage: Eukaryota; Metazoa; Chordata; Mammalia; Primates; Hominidae
Source: RNAcentral